GACGAACCGUGCUAACGUUAUUCGGAAUCACUGGGCUUAAAGGGCGCGUAGGCGGGCAGCCAAGUCAGGGGUGAAAGCGUUCGGCUCAACCGGACAAGUGCCUUUGAUACUGGCGGCCUCGAGGGAGGUAGGGGCGCGUGGAACUUCCGGUGGAGCGGUGAAAUGCGUUGAUAUCCAGCGGAACUCCGGUGGCGAAGGCGAGGUGCUGGACCAUUUCUGACGCUGAGGCGCGAAAGCCAGGGGAGCAAACGGG
RNAcentral lists this ribosomal RNA (253 nucleotides) under uncultured bacterium. RNAcentral describes it as "partial 16S ribosomal RNA". It matches the Rfam family "Bacterial small subunit ribosomal RNA", at positions 524 to 776 of the family's 1533-position model. The record is from RNAcentral.